AUCCCUUGGUUCAUGAGCAUGAUAACUGAGUGUUCAUGCCUUUUGCAUGAAAUGUGCCUUCCUCAAACCUUGUUACAACAUGGGCACAUCACCAGUCUGAUG
Molecule: small nucleolar RNA, 102 nt
Organism: Octodon degus (degu)
Lineage: Eukaryota; Metazoa; Chordata; Mammalia; Rodentia; Octodontidae
Product: small nucleolar RNA U13
Exons: 1
Source: RefSeq, a predicted model, not a curated record